AUAUAUAUACACACACACACAUACAUACAGAAAAUUUAAUAAAAAUUAUAUAUGUGUGUGUGUGUGUGUGUGUGUGUGU
This is a non-coding RNA of Podarcis lilfordi (Lilford's wall lizard), 79 nucleotides long. The record is from the annotation of a GenBank genome assembly. Lineage: Eukaryota; Metazoa; Chordata; Lepidosauria; Squamata; Lacertidae.